UUUCAUCGAGCAUGCGAGGCGUAAGUGGGCGCGACAUCCCCAGGAAUCGAAUAUCACGGACAGCGUUUAAAUUAUUAUGACGAAUCGGGAUUUGAAAGAGCGAUUCGGCAGGUACGACGAGUCGUUUUGGAGGAUUUGACGUUCGAUACGAGAUACGACCGGUCGUCGAGUUAUCUCCGUUGCUCGAUAAAGAAAGGUUAAAGCUCGAUAGACGAACGAACGCGCACGGUAUUCUUAUCGUGACUGGUCGAUCGCGGAAAAGAAUACACCGGGUACGAAACCGCGUGGGAGGAAGUUUUGACCGUCUACCAGCGAAACUAUUCUCAGGAGGGAGCAGAGAACGAUAUAAACGGUUUGCCUGGAGCGAGAGUUUUAAAGGAAAGCAAGUAGAAACCCGAUCUACAUUGUUCCCCUUUGAAUCGAAUCUUUCGCGAACGUAAACCGCGCCGCGCGUUUCCUCUCGCUCGCGUAUUUUACCAAGUGGAAUCAUUUUUGAAACUAUCGAAACGAGAUUGGCGCGAUUGUACGCCGAAUUCCAGCGUGUCGUGACUAAUUCGCGUAAACCUUUCCAACUGAUAACGAAGCGAGAAUGUAUGUGCCGGACAGAGAGUAUGGAAACACCGAGGUGUUCCUCGGUGUUGCAAUAUUCAUCGCUGUCUUCCAUUUUCGGGACAGAAGCUGCGUCACCGAUAACGAGCAUUGUGCGAGAGGACAGGAAUCGAAAGCGACCUAGUCGUCGGGUCGGGGUGAUGCGACAACUUUCUCGAUUGUCGUAUACGGUAGGUUGGUUCGGUCGCGAAUUCAAUACGGCCGGAGUAACGAUAACGCGCGCGUACGAUAACUCGACAAGGUCGACGGCGGUUCAAUUCGAACAGUGCCGUUUGCCAGAUGCGAUCGCCUCGUACUCGUAGCUCGUACAAUUUCGUUGGGAGAGAUUAGACGAAAGAGACAAGGAGGGAAGAAGAGGAGGAUGGAACGUGGAGUUUCAUACGACUCGCAAGCGCGCCACCUCGACUCGCGUUAAUUGAUUAGUCGGCUUCGAACUUGCGAUUAACCAGUCGACCUUCCAUUGUCGGAUUUUCGAUGCAUGAAAUUUAUUAACACGGAUCUCGUCUGGUUCGAGGCGAACGUAAUAUUCCGUAGACGCGACACGUCCACGUUCAACGUUCGCGAACGAACAUUUGAAAAGAGGCGAUCACGGAACGCCGGCUGGCCGGAUCCCGCGCGAUACUUUCGCAAUACCUGGCUGUCGUUUCCCUCUCUUUUUCCAGCCGCCAUCCUUUCAAUCAUCCUCCGAGCUGUCUUCCAGCCGUCUUUCCCUCUUUGUCAUUCCGGCUUUAUCGGCUGACACUCACCGGGUCCGAUAUCAAGCUCGUCGUCCGUCCCUCUGUCCUCCUCCGUUUAUCUCGAUCUCUCGGCCGUAUUCUCGUUCGCCAGCCUCCCUCUCGCACCCUCUGAUUUAGGUCGCAGCCAGCCCGCUAACUGAUUGAGGGUGAUUGACGCUCUGGCUGAAUACCGGACAAGCCCAAAACCCAUUAUUUACUGCUCGGGCCUCGUACAACGUUAUAAUUGCCGGCAGCUAUUCCGCCCUGCGCGCUCCCUCUUCCUCUCGAUUCGAUUUACCCCGCCCCAACCGGCCAAUCCAACGAGUUGGCUUAUCGUCCGGUACCUGCUAACUCGAACCCACCAUGGAAUUCUUGUUGCGAUCGCCCGAACCUGCGUCCUAAUUAAGCACACUACCCACGAAUUUCAUUGGUUUAGUGUUCCCCUAACGUGCGGAAAUAUCGAAAGCACGGCGUAUCAGCGCUAUCGCUGAAAUUCCUUCUCCGACAUACCAGUGUCUCUUUGUGCCGUGCCGUUUAGCUUGAAAACCGUCGUCGCAACCGGCCGCGGAGGAUGACGAGCUUUACGAACCGAAGCGAAUGCAAUUUGAACAGCAGGAAUCGCGUUUUCCUUGUGCCAGCAUUCUCCGUCUAGAACCAGCUACGAAUAAUAGCCAGAUCUCGCGAUGCCGCUUCUCACGACCGCGUGCCAAUCAACCGCUUCUGGGUAUUAUCUUUUUAUUUUCUAGAUCGUCGAUGGAUAAAUCAAACUUUGGAUUUCCAUCGGCUUGGUUUUAUCGGAACAGCCGGAGAAGGCAGGCGAGAAAGGAGAGACAGAAACGGUAACGCGGCCGAAGGAAAGUGGGCUCGAACGAAGUACGUCACGUCCGGCAUACAGUUUACCUUGAGAAGGAUCGAUCUCGAAGGAGUUAAGUGGCUGCCGGUUCUUCCAAGAAGUAUACCCAUCGACUCCAGAGUAGGAAUCACGUUCAUGGCCGACCGUGCUCCAUCGCGGCCUCUGUCAUCUUAAUCCCCGGGAUCCUUUUUACACGGCUUUCUCAUUCGCGUCCUCUGUGUACCCGCCACCUUGUGGACUUUGCUGCCCAGACCAAGACCCGGGACCACCUUCUCUCUUAUCCGCUUGAAUUACGGCGAGGCACGUCCGCCCCUAGUGGAUGUCCUGCUUCAGGCUGGACCUCGUCCAGCUUUCACGGAAAAGGAACCUCCGUCGUCAAAUGGCCGAACCGUAUUAAAACGAAUCUGACCUACGUGAUGUUGGAUCUUAUUCCAACGUUAGGAAAUCAUCACAGCUUCCUGCCGGAUCGCUUUCGCAACUUUUAUCGAAUACCGCAGGAUCGUCGAACGCGUCGCGUUGUCGUUCUCUUCGCUUACUAGAAAUCUUCCUCCAACUCGAUACGUUUCGCGCAAUCUGCUGUCGGACAGACGUCGCAUCUUCGCCGUUCGCUCUUAUACGACGAGAACGCUUCGCUGCAUCGGACAUCGUCGCUAUAAUCGUAUCUAUAUAGCGUUCAUCGACGAGGCGUCACGUAUGACAAAGAUGGUGUCGCAAUCAGGUAGAAUCGAUCGGUCAGUCGAUAAAAGCUCGAAGGAUAGAUAUUGUCCGUGAAGAUGGCAGGCUGGCGGUGAUCUUCGAGUAGACAAUAAAUGGUCAAGCGCUUUAGACACGUUUCCGUGAGCACGAACUAUGGGGCCUUCCGAUUGUACAGGCCAGCAAGGUUUCUCUUUAUUCUUCGACCAAGGGGAAGGUCGAUCGGCCCGAUGCCGAUCAACGAACAAAGCGUUUCUCCGUCGACUAAGCUCUUCCUUCUCCUUUUCUUCGUCGACAAGCGUAUUCGUUGCUCCUUUUCCUUCUCUCCUUCGACAAGUAUUCCUUCAGAAAUACUCUCGCCGCGAACGUUUUCCAACGGACGGUACGCGCUAAGUAAAUUGCAUUUACGAAAUUUUCUCGAAAGUAUUUCGAUUCGAACAAAAUUCAUGUUCGAAAGAGGUUUCGAGAAUUAUGUACGUGUUUCGGGAUGCGUCGACUCGAACUACUUUAUCGAGCGAAGCGUUCGUUUCGGGAAUGUCUUCUGCCUGAUUUCCAUACCUUCUGUUUGCUCGUUUACUCGUCGGGGUAGACAAGGGCCACGGGAGCGUGCGCAAGUUCUACGACAUUUCUUUAAAAUUCGUCGAGUGAGAAGCGUUGAUUAAGCGACAUUCGUUUUUCUCCUUUUUGUCUGUCUUCCUUUGCGUCUCUUUUCCCUUGGUUCCGGGCUUGUUAAGGUGCGACCUGUGUAUUCGCUACGAGGUAACGUCUCUCAAAGGACUCCUUGGACUUGGCCGGUUCUUCACGAUAACGAAAUCGUUGUCGAAGUCUCUGAGAUCCUACGUCUUCUAGAAUCACCGAACAAACCUAAUUCUUUCUCCUCUCUUCUCUCAACCUCUUCGAAUCUACAGUUUCCUCAACGAGGACUAUACCAGUACGAAAUUUCGACAAAGUUUGGUCAAAACGUUCGCCGAGUUCUAAAGCAAGUAAUUUCAUAAUUGCCUAUUCCCUUCGUACCUGUUCGUACGUCGUAAUUCUCGCUUAGAUCGUCAAAACGUACGCGACAUUCGCGAUAUCUUGGAUUCGUUCGCUCGUAGAACACAAUUAUUACGGUACUUUGGUAUUCUUCUCGCAGUUUCUUUCUUACAGCUUCCUAGAUACAUCUUAUCUCCCAGGCCUGAAACUAGCUUGAAACUCGAGUGCCGGUUGGGAGAGAUAGCAGCGAAUUGUUUGGUCCCCCGAGUGAACUAGGAUGUGUAUAACGGUGGUUAGAAGUUGCCAGGAUGCUUCCAAAACGUCGAGGCGGGGGAAAGCAGCAAUUUCUGCUUCGACGUACCACGAAGAGAGCGGCUCGAAGUUGCGACUCGAAUUGAAUGACCGAUCCGGGACGUCGAGCAACUAGCUAGAAGUAGAAACGAAGAAGAAGCGAACGAGACAUCCGUGAUCCGUUGGACGAGAACGAUCCGAGCUCUGGAGCCAGGGAAAACCUUAUUAUGCGUUUCCCCGGAACUCCCCGCUUUGCACGGAUCUUGUAAAGUGGCGAGGGUCGCGUCAACCGAAUAACCAGACCAUAAACCACCAGAGGCCAAGGCAGAAGGACGGGUCGAGCGGCAGGCCGACUGCUAGAACCCGUUUACGUCACCCGUAAACCGGCAUCCUGUGGAUUUCGACGAGCAAAUACACUCGUGGCUAUGGUGCCUCGUAAACUCAGUCAAGACGUGAGCUGACGCACCGCUUUCCUGACGUUUCUCCAAAGGUGAAUGCUCCUUACUUCUCCUUCCUUUCUCCCUUUCCUUCUCCCUUUACUUUUAUCCUUCUCGUUGCUGACAGCAGCCGUUUUUUCAAUAACAUCGAUGUACAAACCUGGUCGACUCCUUUCGCCUUGCUUUCGCGUCGCAUGUUUCUCAACAAGCAAAAUUUUAGUUAACGAGAAACAAGUUGAUUCAGUUGGAACGUUUCUACAUGAACGUCCUACGAAUAGAGCGAGGCAAACUAUAGACUAUCAUUUCGCGCGGUAGAACACGAGCUACGGCCAGCUAAUGACAGUUAUUACCGAUAUGACAGUGAUGUAGUAAUGAAACCGCGAUUGACGAAUCUAAUUGUAGUAAUGCGUUUCAUAUUUUAUCGAGUGCAUGCGGUAUCGCGUAUGAAAUUUUGAUUUCCAAUAGUUGCCAGUGCAAUUCCACGUUGUCGACGUUUCAUUUUAUGCGAAACCAGGGUAUAUCGUAUAUCAUUGAAACCUACCAGAGGGCAAGGUUAAACGAGUGUAAGUAAUGCAACACGUUCGAUUCGUACGAUUUAUCGAUAAAUUGAUAAAUUAUUCAUUCAGUUGCGUCAUUACGUGUGUACGUGUAUACACCGUUCCGAUUUCCCGAAAUACUCUUUUCGAUAAUGUCUCGCGUAAAACGAAUUGUCUAGAAGGAUCUUCAUGUUUCAAAAGCGUAUCUUUUUCCGCGAACCUUCUUCUAUUUUCGAGGAAUGUCCUAACUUUUCGUAGAAUUGUUCGUAAGUGACGUCCGUAACAGUACACUAAAUAAAUUAACCUAUAAGCUAGCUAGCUAAUAUAGAAGUAGCUAUUUGAGGAAAUUAUCCGGGUUUCGUUUCCGUUGGGUCGUUUCUCAGCUUCUCGUUAUUGAUUUUACAUGGAAAAUGGUACUACCCAUGCGAAACAGUUGGAAUUUCUGUGAACUCUUUCACCGACGAAAAUAACUCGAAAAAAGGCAGAGGAAAAGGAGCGGUAAGAGUCGAGAGAGGCGGAUGGUGCUCGUUAUUUCGUCCUUGCGAAGAAUCUGCGAAGAACUCGAGCGACACGCGAAGUUGGUUAGCUCCGGUCCCGUUGUUAUCAGCGAAAAUUUUCUCCGGCGUGGCAUGCUCGUCCCCGUUAUGUUUCCCGACCUAAAGUCACGGUGUAUCGCGUCGCAAACGACGAACGAGAAGACAACCAGUUCAGUUGAAAUUUACAGCGGAGAAAGUGAUACGAAUUUCCAAGCACGGCCGGCCAGUUAAGUGCUUCAAAGCGGCUGCUAAUUAUCGCUGUAACGACACGGAUUGUAUCGCUAUCGCGGAUUCAAUUCGACACCGUCGCCACGCUCUUCUGGUAAAUUGAUACGAUCUUCCUUCAUCGAUCGGGAACUUCGAUGUUUGCGCUCUCCACCGAUGAUUACAUAAUAUAGAGUUCUGCCGAGCCACGAGGAUCAAAGUUCGUUCUUACUUCUUCCUCUAUCGACGUGAUUAAGUGAAAAUACUCGUGGCUCGUGCCAAGUAACUGUGGAAUAGCGGCACGCCUUAUCUCACGGUAUACCCUUUUUAAUUGCAAUUACUUAACAAGCCAGGGGUAAUUUAAGAAUGUGUCGUAAAGCGAGAUCGCAAUGCGCCUCGAAGAUUUGUUGUUGAUUGUAUUUAACGUUACAGUGCACGAGUUUGAAUCGGAAGGAAACGAAAAACGCGAGCGCGAUUAACGUCGCAGUCAGUAAAGUUCCUGCGACGUUAUCCUAAGCUCGUUCGUUCUCGAGUUAUUCGAUCCUGGAAUUAAUUGGUAAUUGGUUAAUUGGUUAAAAGGUAGAAGCCGCGACGGGGGACAAGGUUUACGGGAGUUGCGAGAUUCCAUAAAAUCGGGUUGCAGUUUUCAUCGUGGCUGCGUCAUGUAAAGUUCCGGCCGCUUAGGGAAGAACGAAACACAGACGGUAUAUUUACAGUAAUAGUAGCGUGGCACGAGUUACUUCCGGACAGCAGUGGCGAUGUAGUAGCCGGCGGGCAUGGCGAGUAUGGCAGGCAUCGCGAGCACACACACGUUUCGCGUGUAUGGCAGAGUUAAAGGCGGGCCUGCGACUACGAGAGGUGAAAGGGUUGGCAGAAUCGAAAAGGAGUAAAAGAGCUGGAACGGUCGAUUUAGAGGAAACACGCGUCCGGUGUCGCGUGCGGCCGCGGAUAUCUGAUACGAGCGAAACGCGAGCGUAAUUCUCUUCGACGCUGUCGCGUUAUUUAUAAAUCGUCCUGAACUGCCGCCGGUUAUUAUCACCGGCCGUUACAAUUUUUCACUGGCACUCCCUGCUCCAAACGUCCGCUUAACUAAUUACUAUUAAUUUAACGGGCCGGGCGUUCGUGCCCCUCGUAAUUUCCAUGCCGCGACAGCUACUGUUCGUGGAUUUCGAUUCCAGUUUCGAGCCUGGUGGACCCGAGUCCGCUCGGAUACGCGUCACCGACAAAAAACAGGAAAACAGGACAAAAAAAAAAAAAAAGGAAAAUAGAUAAGGCAAAGUGCAUGCUCGUUAAACGCGCGCGAUACGCGGACGAGCUGCUCUUUUGACGCAGCCUCGCCACUUUGUUCGCGCUAACCAGUCAUUACGCUCUCUCUUGCCUGGCUCCGGUUGAGAAAAAUGCGCGACACCGGAUGCAUCCGUCUUCCCUCCUGCCUUCUUCCUCUCAUUCGACCACCAUCGGAUUAUUACACGGCCGUUAAAUCGUUGGUCAA
This is a long non-coding RNA of Bombus terrestris (buff-tailed bumblebee), 7339 nucleotides long. RefSeq lists it as uncharacterized. The record is from RefSeq and is a predicted model, not a curated record. Lineage: Eukaryota; Metazoa; Arthropoda; Insecta; Hymenoptera; Apidae. The transcript has 2 exons.